Punica granatum (pomegranate) is the source of this 674-nucleotide non-coding RNA. The record is from RefSeq and is a predicted model, not a curated record. Lineage: Eukaryota; Viridiplantae; Streptophyta; Magnoliopsida; Myrtales; Lythraceae.
CACGUGGCCCAAAAUUCUCCCUAGCAAUCCCUUCCACCGCCUCAGCUUUUAUCUAUCAUCUCCAUUGUGUUUUUUCUCUUCUUUCUUUUGGGGCUGGUGGGUUUAAAAAGAAAAAGAAACAAAGAAGAACAGAGCGCGUGAGAGAAACAGAGAGAGAGAGAGAAACGAGAGCGAGACGGAAGGGGAAGCGCCAAAGGCUCGAUCUUCGCAAUAUCUGGCGAGACCAGUGAUUCGACUCCAUCCUUCGUCCAAGCUCUCCUUCUCGGGUUAUACUCGUGAUUGAUAAGAGCAGAGGACAUCGAUUGUGCACCCUGAAGGUCAAGUUUGGUGAAUCAUUUUAGUGCUAGGCGAGUACUUCAUUCCAUUGUGAAAUGAUAUAUAUGUAUAUAUAUAUAUUAUGUGAGUACUCUAUUCCCAUGUAAAAUGAUGUAUUAUAGUUAUAUAAAUUAUUGAAGAAGCAUAUUGUGAUAGUUAGAGAUUAAGAAAUUAGUCAUGCUAUGUUGUGUGAAUUGAUUUGAGAGAUGUUGCCUUUUAUGUUUCAUUUUAAUUUGGGAUAUGCAGUGUGAUUGUGAAUGUUGAUUGUGAUGAUAACUUGCUGUCAUUGUACUGUGAUUGAGAUUGUGUUUGUGUAUGAUGAUAUAUGAGGUGAGAUGGCAUGGUUGCAAUUAAUUAUA